UACGGAGGAUCCGAGCGUUAUCCGGAUUUAUUGGGUUUAAAGGGUGCGCAGGCGGGAGAUUAAGUCGGCGGUGAAAUUUUGCAGCUCAACUGUAAAAGUGCCUUCGAAACUGGUUUCCUUGAGUGUAGAUGAAGUAGGCGGAAUUUGUGGUGUAGCGGUGAAAUGCAUAGAUAUCACGAGGAACUCCGAUUGCGCAGGCAGCUUACUAAACUACUACUGACGCUCAGGCACGAAGGCGUGGGGAUCAAACAGGAUUAGAUACCCUGGUAGUCCACGCAGUAAACGAUGAUUACUAGCUGUUUGCGAUACAAUGUAAGCGGCUGAGCGAAAGCGUUAAGUAAUCCACCUGGGGAGUACGUUCGCAAGAAUGAA
This 372-nucleotide ribosomal RNA is filed under the name uncultured bacterium. RNAcentral's name for it is "bacterial SSU rRNA". It matches the Rfam family "Bacterial small subunit ribosomal RNA", at positions 524 to 898 of the family's 1533-position model. The record is from RNAcentral.